Molecule: long non-coding RNA, 1131 nt
Filed under: Gossypium barbadense (sea-island cotton)
Lineage: Eukaryota; Viridiplantae; Streptophyta; Magnoliopsida; Malvales; Malvaceae
Description: long non-coding RNA (GBAR_LNC020591)
Source: RNAcentral
CGCGAGAAAGGAAGGAAAUAAGUAUUCAUCCAUUAAAAAAGAAGGAAGAUUACAAUUUGGAAGCAAAUUAAAACCAAGUCUUAUGCGGCUACAUUAGUUGCAGCCUCUACCUUGCCAAAAGAAGGAACAUUAUCAUCAUUAUUACCCUUCGCAAUAGCUUUCUCUUCUUGAAUCAUUUGUGGAGUACCUGUCUCUUCUCAUAGGGUAGCAGGAGCAAGAAAAAUCUUCCCAGAAUCCCUUCACUCCUUAACAAAUUCAUCCUAAGCCUCGCCCUGGGAUCUACGAUACCGAAGCUACCUUCUUUUCCAAAAAGGCUCUGCAAAUCUACACCGUGAAGAUUGAGAGGGCACCUAAAAGCCUGGAUACUAAGAGUUAGUGAUAUUGGCUUACGCUUUUCUUUUGAAGUCUUCUAGGUCAGCUUCCUUUGUAGCCUUGAAGCUUGUAAGUUCAGCUCCCUUGGUUCUCAGUUCACCCUUUCUUUUAACACUUUGAUUCUUCCCCAGCUUUUUCCUUUGCUAAGACGUCAGUCUCUUUCUUCAAAGCCUCUAAUUGGAUCCUCGCAUCCAUCUCAUGAGCCUCCCUCUCAGCGACCAACUUUUCAGAGUCUACAACUUUCUUCUCCUUACUAUUGGCUUUACUCCAUCUCAGCGAAACUUCUUUUCAAGGAAGCGUAGAACUUCUUCCAAUGUUUAGCUUCCUUUUGUAACGCGGUUCUUGGCUGCAACAUCCUCUACAAAGACUUGCCUUAAACCAUGAAGAAUGAGUUCUAAUUCCCCUGCUUGUACAUCAAUUGUCCCCAUAAGUUCUGCCAUUAUAAGUCGGACAAGUUCACCGCUUCUGCCAGAAGCUUAACCAACAGCUCAUGGUAAGCUCCUAUCCCAGUUGGCAGCCACACCUGCAGGAGUGUAGAGGAACUCCCCCAAAGGGAUUUUAUCUCUCUAACUGUGAAAAUGUUGGGGACAAGAUUUCCCACCAACUUGAAUAACUCCAUGAACGACCUUUGAAGGGACUAAUAUGGAUGGAUCACCGCUAACAAUAGUAGCCGCAUUACAGACAGGAAGGGGUUAGAUUGGUUUAGUUGGAUCAGACUUCUUGAAAAAAAAAUUUCUAUCAUAAUUUAAUUCAGCUUGG